RNAcentral lists this non-coding RNA (18 nucleotides) under Mus musculus (house mouse). Lineage: Eukaryota; Metazoa; Chordata; Mammalia; Rodentia; Muridae. The record is from RNAcentral.
GCCAUCUUGGUCCGGGAC